This 63-nucleotide transfer RNA is filed under the name Microdeuterus sp. HEM078. RNAcentral describes it as "tRNA-Arg". Lineage: Eukaryota; Metazoa; Arthropoda; Insecta; Hemiptera; Acanthosomatidae. The record is from RNAcentral.
AAUAAUGAAGUAAAAAUUACAUUUAGUUUCGACCUAAAAUUAGGUUUAUAUUAACCCUUAUUU